This 1481-nucleotide long non-coding RNA is filed under the name Struthio camelus australis. RNAcentral describes it as "lncRNA (ENSSCUG00000008176.1)". The record is from RNAcentral. Lineage: Eukaryota; Metazoa; Chordata; Aves; Struthioniformes; Struthionidae.
GUAGAUUUCUGUCCUAUUCCUCCCUUCCAAGUCACCCCUUCUAGUCUGAAGGGCAUAAGAUGCUGAUAGUCUCAUGUACUGCUUGCUCACAUUUCUGUGCUCAUCCUUCCCAGCGCAUCAGUCACAGGAAGGAAAACACAGGCACUGCCAAAACAGUCAACUGCCUACAUCAUGUGAAGAGGAGAGAGCAGCUUCCACUGAACCGAACUCACUGCAUGACUGCAAACAGCAGAGAGGAAAGGCAGGGGAGUCUGAAGUAGAGACUCGCAUAGACAGAGGCUGGCCAGCAUGGGAGAAGGAGAAGGAGAUGUGCAAGUGGUCAGCCAGCAAGCAAUGUCAACAGUGUGAUUCAGCGGCUCUCACACAAGGAAGAGCUGGUUACGAGGGGCCCAAGCCACCCCAGUGGCUUCCAAAAGAGGACAUGAGACAAAGGCCUGCAGCAUACCUCUUCAGUUGGGUCAGUGAAGCAGCAUCACGCUGACCUCCUAGUAUUACCCUACUGCCUUGAGAUCCUGAUGGAAACUGCGGGAAGACUGACCUUCUCUGGGAGUUGUACAGGGGCAUGUGUUAAAUAUCCAUAACUCCCCAUGCUCUCUUGCAUAAUCACCUGGUGGCCAGGGACAAGUCGUUUAGAUGAUUUGGAAUAGNNNNNNNNNNNNNNNNNNNNNNNNNNNNNNNNNNNNNNNNNNNNNNUCAGCAGUCAAACAUCCAGCCCUAUCUGGAUGCCACUUCUUUUCCAAAUCCUUUCAAAUGCAGCCUAAGGGGUUACUAUUGACUUUAAAAGCAGGGGAGGGGGCUGAUUCAACAAAAACAACUAAGCACUUAAUAACGUUAAACACAUGCUCAAGUCUCUUCCUAUUCAACAAAACAGUUGAGCACUUACUUCACCCUUCUUAGAUGGCCCAGAACCAAAACACAGAGUUCUCAGAAUUUCUCCAACCUUUAUUUAAUUUUAGCGGAGGGACAGGAAUUUGAACCUUGAUCCAUGUUUUGCAAAGGGUCCCUAUUUGCAAGUGAGUCAGACUCCGGAUCCAGACCUACACACCCAAAUGUUGGCACGUUCAUGUUUUGGACUGGGAUCUGAUUUUUUCAGCUUGUGAGAUCAGAGUGAGAACUCCGAUCCAUGCAUAUGCUCAUUAAAGAGUUUGAAUUGCAGGCAGGGAGCUGUUAAACCGUGUUUCUGUGCAUGGUUUAAACUGAUGAUGCUUCCCCCAACUCCACCUACCUGAGGUGCAAAAGCAAGCCACCACCUCAGUGUGCACUGUGCAGAUGCUCAGCCCGCGAGCGUGCAGGAUUUGCAGAGCUCCUCAAAUUUGGCUGCUCUUUCACAAGUCUAAACCCACCACAGCACAGCUCUGUAGCCCCAUUCCCAGAGUCAUGUGAGAUCUUCAGACUCUUGGCUAGUAUUAAAAUACCGUAGAGCGUUCACUUAGCGGUUGCAAAGAGAAAGUGCGAACGGAGAGAGCAAGGCGUGCCGCGGC